Otolemur garnettii (small-eared galago) is the source of this 107-nucleotide small nuclear RNA. The record is from Ensembl. NCBI's taxonomy places the organism in Eukaryota, Metazoa, Chordata, Mammalia, Primates, Galagidae.
GUGCUUGCUUUGGCAGCACAUAUACUAAAAUUGGAAUGGUACAUAGAAGAUCAGCAUGGCCCCUGUGCAAGGAUGACACGCAAAUUCGUGAAGUGUACCAUAUUAAA